UGCAUUUGUCAUUCAAAAUCGUGGGUCAUGAUGUCGGUGCACUGACCUCGUACAAUGCACAGCUAAUCCCAGGUUGAAGACCGCAGCGUUUAAGGGAAGGACCUCGGACGACUGUCGGAAGGACCUCAGAAGUAUCCUGUGGAAGGAGAGGAGGGUGUCGAACUGUUUGAAUCUGCGUUAAAAUGGAGUGGUGCUGAAAGGGCCGAUAAAAUCAAGAGCAUUAUGCCGUCAAGAACUGCUCAAAAUUACUGCCAUUAACCCGGAGACACAAGUCAGUACGAACCGGAAUUUGUUCCUGGACACGCCGCAGCGUGUCUACUGAAACAUUUCCAAUGGCACCAUGGAUUCACGCCAACAAUAUUUCCAUGCUGUCCACCAGUUCGUGGUACACUUCAUUCUGGAACAAUGUCUACAAAACAAAUACAUAAUUUGAGUAAAAAAAAA
Molecule: non-coding RNA, 444 nt
Organism: Megalopta genalis
Lineage: Eukaryota; Metazoa; Arthropoda; Insecta; Hymenoptera; Halictidae
Source: RefSeq, a predicted model, not a curated record